AGCUCCCUGGAGUGUGCGCCAGCUGAUUACGUCCCUGAGCCGAUUCACUCAAAACGGAGCCUGCCCUGUGAACUGGUGUGCAUGUCCGCUUGCGGAAAGCCUGAAGGUUCAACGCGGGCUCCACCUUGGACUCUUCGGGUUCAAGGGCCACGUCAGUAGCGGCACUUUCGGGGAGUCC
RNAcentral lists this non-coding RNA (178 nucleotides) under Thiopseudomonas denitrificans. RNAcentral's name for it is "6S / SsrS RNA". It matches the Rfam family "6S / SsrS RNA". Rfam says of the family: E. coli 6S RNA was the first non coding RNA to be sequenced, but its function was unknown until recently. It consists of 184 nucleotides that fold into an extended hairpin structure with a large single-stranded internal bulge. The 6S RNA specifically associates with RNA polymerase holoenzyme containing the sigma70 specificity factor. The record is from Rfam by way of RNAcentral. Lineage: Bacteria; Pseudomonadati; Pseudomonadota; Gammaproteobacteria; Pseudomonadales; Pseudomonadaceae.